UUCAAACAUAUACUAGGGAAAAAUCAGUUAUGCCAACUGGCCAAAAGUGCAUCAAUCCCAAAGUUUAUCAGCCUGAAUCUCCUACAUUGAAUUGCACAGCAGUAAGAAAUGAACCACCAGAGAGAUGACUCAAUAUGUUUUAAAAUGCAUAUGAAUCUGCCACCAUUAGUAACAGACAGAGAUUGGACUUCUUCUAUGAAAUUCAUACCAAGGACUACUGCCUCCAUUUGUAGUAGAUAAACCUGGAUGUACAUCAGAACACAAUGUGGUGGAGGACCUUCGUAUAACAAGCAUUUUGGUAAUGUGGACCCACCAGUAGGUGCUACUGAAAAUGGAAUCAGAGGGUCUGGGGAGAACUGAAGGUCCUUGAAGUCAAGACAUAUGAGCGGUUAAAAUCUGGCUCAUCAUCAGUACAGCUCCACCCCAGCCCCAGUUUGGAGCAACCUAAUAUCUGUUCUAACAUAUAUCAGCUGGCAAUGAUCCUCAAGUCAUUAUCCAUCAAGAUGGAAAUAGAAGGAAGCACCAUUCUCCAACACAUGCCUUAUGCCGGGGCUGCAGGGAUGGGGAUAGAAGCUGACUCUAUACCAGAGAUCAUCUGGAACGCAGCGGUCAGAACCUAAGAACUUCAAGGAAUUCAAAGACAAAUCCCAGUGCAUUAUCAACAACAGAAGAAAAGAAAAUCAAGCACAACUCAUACCUCCAAAAUGGGUCCUCCUUAUUAUACCCUAGAUCCCAUUUCUUCAAUGCCAGGCUUCCUUUCUUCCAUCACGGACUGUUCCAGAUUGACAUAUAUCUGGUAAUUCAUAUUUUGGAGAGGAUUCCCAGCUUGCCUUGCUUUUAAGGGAAUAGACUAUCACACCCUACAAACACAGUAGACCCAGGAACUUUUUUUUAAUAGUAUCUACACCACUGAUAAGAAAAACUAUGCCUGAUUAUUUAAAUAUUUUUGGAUACAUUUUUAUUGUAAAAUAAUGUAAAUGGAUUUAAAACCAGGUUGUAUAGCAGUUUUGGAUUUGCAGUACAUUCUUGCCUUUAAUAUUUUUUCU
Molecule: long non-coding RNA, 1046 nt
Organism: Mauremys mutica (yellowpond turtle)
Lineage: Eukaryota; Metazoa; Chordata; Testudines; Geoemydidae
Exons: 5
Source: RefSeq, a predicted model, not a curated record